UGGGGAAUAUUGGACAAUGGGGGGAACCCAGAUCCAGCCAUGCCGCGUGUGUGAAGAAGGCCUUAUGGUUGUAAAGCACUUUAAGCGAGGAGGAGGGUACUGGUAUUAAUACUACCAGCUACUGGACGUUACUCGCAGAAUAAGCACCGGCUAACUCUGUGCCAGCAGCCGCGGUAAUACAGAGGGUGCGAGCGUUAAUCGGAUUUACUGGGCGUAAAGCGUGCGUAGGCGGCUAAUUGAGUCGGAUGUGAAAUCCCCGAGCUUAACUUGGGAAUUGCAUUCGAUACUGGUUAGCUAGAGUGUGGGAGAGGAUGGUAGAAUUCCAGGUGUAGCGGUGAAAUGCGUAGAGAUCUGGAGGAAUACCGAUGGCGAAGGCAGCCAUCUGGCCUAACACUGACGCUGAGGUACGAAAGCAUGGGGAGCAAACAGG
Molecule: ribosomal RNA, 430 nt
Filed under: Pseudomonadota bacterium
Lineage: Bacteria; Pseudomonadati; Pseudomonadota
Description: Proteobacteria bacterium partial 16S ribosomal RNA
Rfam family: Bacterial small subunit ribosomal RNA
Source: RNAcentral